GUAAAACUCUAGGUUAAACCACCAGAAACCCUAGAAGCCGAUAGGUCACCUAAAAAUUACCCAAAAAUCAGCGGAAAAUCUCCCAGAACGUUCGAGUGAAGAAAAUACACUCAGAUAUCACGAUGAAAAACUCAGAAAGGCAUCCGAUUUAGAUCGGAAUCGUCAUCGACCACAAAGUCUCAGAAACACCCCCAAAAAUCUCAAAGGAGACUUCAACCAAGAUAACGAGAUGCCAAAAACAUAGUCGGAUCGUCGUCCAGGCUCUGAUACCAUGAAAACUUUGAGAUUAAACCGAAGAGUCAUGGAAAAUAUAGUGAGAGAAUCUAGAGAGAAGGAGGAGCGUAUGAGAGAAGUCUCUGGAAGACAGAGAGUAUUAU
Molecule: long non-coding RNA, 377 nt
Filed under: Nicotiana benthamiana
Lineage: Eukaryota; Viridiplantae; Streptophyta; Magnoliopsida; Solanales; Solanaceae
Description: long non-coding RNA (NBEN_LNC036411)
Source: RNAcentral